This 78-nucleotide transfer RNA is filed under the name compost metagenome. RNAcentral's name for it is "tRNA-Leu". It matches the Rfam family "tRNA". From Rfam's summary of the family: Transfer RNA (tRNA) molecules are approximately 80 nucleotides in length. Their secondary structure includes four short double-helical elements and three loops (D, anti-codon, and T loops). The record is from RNAcentral.
GCCCGUGUAGUCCAAUCUGGUAGAGGCGCCGCAUUCAAACCGCGGAUGUUGUCGGUUCGAGUCCGACCAUGGGUACCA